UAUGAGCCAUUAUGGACAGCAUGCAUUACAAAGGGUCUACUUGCUCACCCAGCUCACACUGCUCAUUCAGCAAGUGCUUUCUGAAUGCCCACUGUGUGCCAGGAGCUGUCACAGCAAGCAAGGAGCGAACCCCAGCUCUCAAGAGCUCACAGGUGGAGGAAUCACUUGACAGAGAGACAACACUCUGGAGAUCGAAGCCUUUGACUAGGGGGCAUAGCUUGUGUGCUGCAAAGGCUAUUGGAUGGGGAGGCAGCAGUGCAUUGACAGAGAGGCUCUGCCCAAGGUCAUGUGGAUGUAAGCAGCAGAGGAGGACUCACAUUCAGAUCUGGCCAAGUCCCAGGCUCAGACUUCUGUCCCAAGGACACCUGCCUCCAUGUCAAGCUCCAGGUGAACAAAGAAGGCAGCUUGCCUCAUGUUCUUUCAAGAAGGGAGAAGGAGAGAAAGCAGAAGUCACACACACAUCAUCUGGUGUCUUGCCAGGAGACACCACACAGCACCUUAUGACUCUGCCACCAAGAAGUUUACCAGGAGGUGCAUCCCGUUGUCUUGGAACCCCAAAGCUGUGAGAGGCAGCAUAAACCUUUCUUCUUCCUAACUUACCCAGUCUGUGGUAUUGUGAUAUGAGCAACAGAAAACAGACUAAGAUGCACAGUAUUACCUUAAGAAGUAAACCAUUUGUGGUAACUUCUGGUGGGAGUCAUCAAUCCUACUCCUGGAAAUCCCCACUAGCUUUUCAUGGUUGUCUCAAACCCGUGGGAGAUUACUGAAGUCACCCCCUCCAUGUUCUUGCUAACCCUGGGUUUCUAUCACCACCAUCUAGCUUGGUCCUAACCACAUCCUCAGGCCCCCUGCACCUGGCUGCCUCCCUCCAUACUCUUCUUUCCCCCACAACCUCUGAGACAUCACAGGUUCCAGCUUUCUGUUUGGGACCACCAUUUCCCUAGGUGAGAACAUUUGCAUUUCUAGUCUUAGCCACCGAGUGACGGAUGAAGUUCCCCUAGCUUCAAUCCUGACUUCUUGCCUGAGUGAGUUAACUACAUUUUGUUGGCCAUCAUGUUCACAAAUAUAAAACAUCCAAAGCAACAUUCAAGAGCCUGCAAACUUGUAUGGUUCUCCCUAAUUCUCUAGUACAGGUAGUGGCACCGUGGGCCAUGUUACCCAGGUCAGACACAGUGGUGGCUUUUGUGUCUUUUCUUUCACCUCCACCACUCACCCACUCCAGGCUGUGUGUGAGCCCAGCUGCCGUGUUGUGAUGGCUGCUCUAACCCUGGUAUUUAACACAGCGUGGAACCCACAGCC
Molecule: non-coding RNA, 1299 nt
Organism: Cricetulus griseus (Chinese hamster)
Lineage: Eukaryota; Metazoa; Chordata; Mammalia; Rodentia; Cricetidae
Source: RefSeq, a predicted model, not a curated record